RNAcentral lists this ribosomal RNA (254 nucleotides) under uncultured bacterium. RNAcentral's name for it is "partial 16S ribosomal RNA". It matches the Rfam family "Bacterial small subunit ribosomal RNA", at positions 524 to 776 of the family's 1533-position model. The record is from RNAcentral.
UACGUAGGGUGCGAGCGUUGCCCGGAAUUAUUGGGCGUAAAGAGCUCGUAGGCGGUGUGUCACGUCGGCCGUGAAAGCCUGGGGCUUAACUCUGGGCGUGCGGUCGAUACGGGCAUCACUAGAGUUCGGCAGGGGAGACUGGAAUUCCUGGUGUAGCGGUGAAAUGCGCAGAUAUCAGGAAGAACACCUAUGGCGAAGGCAGCUCUCUGGGACGGUACUGACGCUGAGACGCGAAAGCGUGGGGAGCGAACAGG